Numida meleagris (helmeted guineafowl) is the source of this 786-nucleotide long non-coding RNA. RefSeq lists it as uncharacterized. NCBI's taxonomy places the organism in Eukaryota, Metazoa, Chordata, Aves, Galliformes, Numididae. The record is from RefSeq and is a predicted model, not a curated record. The transcript has 2 exons.
UUUGGGGCAGCUCCCAGCCCAGGGCACGAUCUGGGGCUGUAGAUUUGGGGCUGCACACCCUGAUCCCAGCAGCCCUGCGCAGGGCAGCUCCCAGUACCCAUCACAGCCAAAGCAGCAAUGCGCAGGACGCGUCCCCUUCCCUUCAUCCAUUCACGAUGUCCUCUGACGGCUGCAGGCUCGCCAGCCCCAUGGCUGCUGCCCCAUCUAACCGUGGGGUCACGGCAGCCUGUACACAGGCCACGCACAUUGCAGUGCCUCAUCACCGCAGGAGCCGGGUGCCCCGAAAUGCAGAGCUCGAUGGCACGUGUUGCUUUGCUCAGGAGCAAACCAUCUUCAUUUCUGUCCCUCCCAGGGAACUGCGGGUGGCAGAGGCAGCAGAGCGCAGUGCUCUCCUCCGUCCCCGCUCCCUCCUGCCCGCCUGCUCCAGAUCCAUCCUUUCCUGCUGAUUCGGGACAAUCUGCGUCCUGUGACCUACUUGUCUCCGAGCGCCGGCCCAGUUCUGGAUGCGUCCCCGGGGAUGCUGUGCUGGGAAGUCUGUGCGUUUUGACACAGCGCAGGAGAGGAGCCGCUCACAGCCACACAGCACGCACAUAUCUCACUGCAAACAAAACGUGAUAUAGCGUGGUGUGCAUCCACAUCCCCAAGGCAGCAAAAGGGGUGGGUAACCCCCAGACCCAUUUCAGGAGGAGCAGGUCAGCAUCAGCUGAAUUAAAUGAAUUAAUCCAGGCAGAAAGCCUUCCCAGGGCACGUGGGGGAAAAUAAAAAAAAAAAAAAAAUGCAUGGAAA